GACAGAGGGUGCAAACGUUGUUCGGAUUUACUGGGCGUAAAGCGCGUGUAGGCGGCUUUACAAGUCGGGGGUGAAAGCCCGAGGCUCAACCUCGGAACUGCCUUCGAUACUGCGGGUCUCGAGUCCGGGAGAGGUGAGUGGAAUUCCUAGUGUAGCAGUGAAAUGCGCAGAUAUCAGGAAGAACACCAACGGCGAAGGCAGCUCGCUGGGACGGUACUGACGCUGAGACGCGAAAGCGUGGGGAGCGAACAGG
This 253-nucleotide ribosomal RNA is filed under the name uncultured bacterium. RNAcentral's name for it is "partial 16S ribosomal RNA". It matches the Rfam family "Bacterial small subunit ribosomal RNA", at positions 524 to 776 of the family's 1533-position model. The record is from RNAcentral.